RNAcentral lists this non-coding RNA (21 nucleotides) under Caenorhabditis elegans. Lineage: Eukaryota; Metazoa; Nematoda; Chromadorea; Rhabditida; Rhabditidae. The record is from RNAcentral.
UAACCAAUAUAUAGAAACACG